Molecule: ribosomal RNA, 253 nt
Filed under: uncultured bacterium
Lineage: Bacteria
Description: partial 16S ribosomal RNA
Rfam family: Bacterial small subunit ribosomal RNA
Source: RNAcentral
UACGUAGGGUGCGAGCGUUAAUCGGAAUUACUGGGCGUAAAGCGUGCGCAGGCGGCUUUGCAAGACAGAUGUGAAAUCCCCGGGCUCAACCUGGGAACUGCAUUUGUGACUGCAAGGCUAGAGUACGGCAGAGGGGGAUGGAAUUCCGCGUGUAGCAGUGAAAUGCAUAGAUAUGCGGAGGAACACCAAUGGCGAAGGCAAUCCCCUGGGCCUGUACUGACGCUCAUGCACGAAAGCGUGGGGAGCAAACAGG